AGAGCGAACGUUAGCGGCGGGCCUAACACAUGCAAGUCGCGCGAGAAAGGGACUUCGGUCCUGAGUACAGCGGCGGACGGGUGAGUAACACGUAGGUAACCUGCCCUUUAGUGGGGGACAACGGUCCGAAAGGACCGCUAAUACCGCAUAAGUUUCUCGGGACUUUGGUCCUGGGAAGGAAAGCCUCGCAAGGGGCGCUGAAGGAGGGGCCUGCGUCGCAUCAGCUAGUUGGUGGGGUAAUGGCCUACCAAGGCGAAGACGCGUAGCUGGUCUGAGAGGAUGAUCAGCCACACUGGGACUGAGACACGGCCCAGACUCCUACGGGAGGCAGCAGGUGGGAAUAGUGGACAAGUGGGGGACAACCCUUGACUCCAGCCACGCCGACGUGAGUGACUGAAGGCCUUCGGGUACGUAAAGGUCUCGUGGUGGGAGGAACGGAACGGUCCGGGUAGAAAGAAGUCCGGGUAG
This 468-nucleotide ribosomal RNA is filed under the name uncultured soil bacterium. RNAcentral's name for it is "bacterial SSU rRNA". It matches the Rfam family "Bacterial small subunit ribosomal RNA", at positions 26 to 475 of the family's 1533-position model. The record is from RNAcentral.